This 233-nucleotide long non-coding RNA is filed under the name Homo sapiens (human). RNAcentral's name for it is "long non-coding RNA NONHSAT222188". The record is from RNAcentral. Lineage: Eukaryota; Metazoa; Chordata; Mammalia; Primates; Hominidae.
GAAACAGCAGAGAAAUUGGAACUGCGGAGAGAUGUAGGAGCUGAAAAGACAUCAGAAACCAAAUCUACGGCCUCUCUCGAAGUCAUGUUCCUGUCGUGGCAUUCUGUCUUUCGCAUAAAGUGAAACCUUAAACAACAAACCUUGACAAUUUUAUUCGGGAUCAGACACUUUAGGAUUGGACAAGAGCAGCUUGAGAUGAGAAAGUAUGAGUCCAAAUUGGAGAAGAAUUAAAA